This 1292-nucleotide long non-coding RNA is filed under the name Vigna radiata. Its description in RNAcentral is "long non-coding RNA (VRAD_LNC001539)". The record is from RNAcentral. Lineage: Eukaryota; Viridiplantae; Streptophyta; Magnoliopsida; Fabales; Fabaceae.
UUGUUAUAAUUAGGUCCUUAACUGUGAAAAAUUGAUGCAAUUAGACCCCUACCGUUAAAUUGGUUGAACGAGAUUAAAUUUAUGCUGAUAUGACUUAUUAAAAUGAUGUGGUAGACUCAGGGCAUGGUGAUCUGAAUCAGAGACCACCACAUCAUCAUCAUCUUCAUCUCCAUCUUCUCGAAUAGAAAGAGUGUAAGGUGUAAGAAAGGUGAGCGUGCAAAUGUGUAAAGUUUAUGGUGUAAGAAGGAUGUAAAAAGGGUGUAGGUGUGGUGUAUAAAGUGUGAAAAUGUGUAGAAAAUAUGUAGGAAUGGGGGAAGUAAGGUGUAGGGUGUAGAAAAUGUAAUGAAAAAGGUGUAAAAAGAGUGUAAUAAUGAUGUAGAGUGUAAAAAGGGUGUAAUAAUGAUGUAGAGUGUAACAAGGGUGACAGUGUAGGGUGUAAAGUGUAAGAAUGGUUUAAGAAGGGUGUAAGAUAUGUGUAGAAAAAGGUGUAGCAAAUGUGUAUGAAGGUUGUAGAAAGAGUGUAGAAAAUGUGUAUGAAAUGUGUAGCAAAGGUGUAAGAAAGGUUUAGAAAAUGUAUACAGAAUUAGUGUAGAAAUAAUGUUGGACAGGUGUAGUAAAAGGUGUAAGAAAAAUGUAGGAAAGGUGUGGGAAAGGUAUAAGAAUGAUGUAGGGAGGAUGUAGGAAAUGUGUAAGAAUGGUGUGGGAAGUGUGAAAGCGUGUAGAAAGGGUGUAGAAAAUAUAUAAGAAUGGUGUAAGUAUGUUGUAGGGUGUGGAAAGGGUCUAAGAAAAGUGUAAUUAUAAGCUUGUUGGAAGUAUAGGAAAUGUGUGAGAAAGGUGUAAGAAGAGUGUGAAAAGGGUUUAAGAAGGGUGUAAGAUAUGUGUUGGAAAGGUGUAUGAAUGAUAUAAGAAAAAUGUAAGAAUGUUGUAGAAAGAGUGUAGAAAUGGUAUACACAAGGUUUGUGUGAGAUGUAGGGUAUAAGCUAUAGAAAAUGUGUAGGAUGGAUGAGAUAAGGGUCUGAGAAGAGUAUAAACAAGGUGUAGGGUGGGUGUUAAUAAGGGUGUAUGCUAUAAGGUUUAAAAAGGGUGUUAAAAAAAUGUAGGAAAUUUAUGGGAAAGGUAUAGGAAGAGUGUAAGAAGAAUAUAUGAAGGGUGUAAGAAGAGUGAAGGUAAAUGGUGUAUUGUGUAAGAAGGGUUUAAAAAUGAUGUAAUAAAUAUUUAAAAAUUGUGUAAAAUAUGUGUAGAAAAGACGUAAAAGAACGUAAGAAAUGUAUAGAAAAAUUUUAGGAAUUGUG